This 492-nucleotide ribosomal RNA is filed under the name uncultured bacterium. RNAcentral's name for it is "bacterial SSU rRNA". It matches the Rfam family "Bacterial small subunit ribosomal RNA", at positions 28 to 507 of the family's 1533-position model. The record is from RNAcentral.
GAUGAACGCUAGCGGCAGGCCUAACACAUGCAAGUCGAGGGGCAUCAUGGCGUAGCAAUACGCUGAUGGCGACCGGCGCACGGGUGCGUAACGCGUAUGGAACCUACCCACCGCAGGGGGAUAACCCGCCGAAAGGCGGACUAAUACCCCAUGGUUCCCCGACCCUGCCUGGGGUUGGGGUAAAGCCUACGGGCGGCGGUGGAUGGCCCUGCGUGCCAUUAGCUGGCUGGUGGGGUAACGGCCCACCAGGGCGACGAUGGCUAGGGGGUCUGAGAGGACGAUCCCCCACACUGGUACUGAGACACGGACCAGACUCCUACGGGAGGCAGCAGUGAGGAAUAUUGGUCAAUGGGCGGAAGCCUGAACCAGCCAUGCCGCGUGCAGGAUGAAGGCCUUCGGGUUGUAAACUGCUUUUGUACGGAACGAAACGGUGAGCUCUAAUAAAGCUUGCUAAUGACGGUACCGUAAGAAUAAGCACCGGCUAACUACGUG